ACGGAGGGUGCAAGCGUUAAUCGGAAUUACUGGGCGUAAAGCGCAUGCAGGCGGUUUGUUAAGUCUGAUGUGAAAUCCCCUGGCUCAACCUUGGAACUGCAUCGGAUACUGGCAAGCUUGAGUCUCGUAGAGGGGGGUAGAAUUCCAGGUGUAGCGGUGAAAUGCGUAGAGAUCAGAAGGAAUACCGAUGGCGAAGGCGGCCUCCUGGACGAAGACUGACGCUCAGGUGCGAAAGCGUGGGGAGCAAACAG
Molecule: ribosomal RNA, 251 nt
Filed under: uncultured prokaryote
Description: partial 16S rRNA
Rfam family: Bacterial small subunit ribosomal RNA
Source: RNAcentral